AACGCAACUUGCGCUCCUUGGUAUUCCAUGGAGCAUGCCUGUUUGAGUGUCACGUAAACCCUCACCCAAGUGAUGUUACAGUCGUCUUGCGGUGGAUUUGGAUUGUGCCGUAAUUGGCUCAUCCUGAAAUGCAUUAGCUUGCGCUUUUUACAGUGCUCGGCAUGGUGUGGUAAUUAUCUGCGCCGUCGCCUUAGGCCUGUUCUAUAUGUGUAGCUUCUAAUCGUCCCUUGUGGACAACUUACUUAACACUUUGGCCUCAAAUCAGGUAGGAUUACCCGCUGAACUUAA
This 288-nucleotide unclassified non-coding RNA is filed under the name uncultured fungus. RNAcentral's name for it is "partial contains 5.8S ribosomal RNA, internal transcribed spacer 2, and large subunit ribosomal RNA". The stretch from base 1 to 52 matches the Rfam family "5.8S ribosomal RNA", at positions 103 to 154 of the family's 154-position model. Lineage: Eukaryota; Fungi. The record is from RNAcentral.